AUUCGUAAGUGUAUAAGCACACCGAAUCGACACCAGAGUAUAGGGGCAUAUAUACUCAAUACAAAUAUAUGUCUUGAUAGUAAAUGUGGUUCGACCGUCAGAAUGCCGAACUCUAAAGCUUACUUGUGAGUAUCCAAUCAUAAAACAACUCGGUGUUCAAUGUGCCGAGCCUUAGUAGACUGAACACCUCACCUUUCCGAAAAGGCUAAUGAGAUGACCUCUGCCAAUAAAGACCCGAAAGUCUUUCUCGACUGAGACUUGGAUAGAUAACCAGUCAGCCUCGACGCAGUGCUGGUUAUCCAAAAUGAAGGUGUUCCGUGGUUGGCUGGUUUUAUGGUGAUAGUGCUGUUUAUCCAAACUGAAGGUAUCACCGGUUACCUUCACAGUGCUGUUUAUCCAAACUGAAGAUGUGUUGGCGGAAAAAGAAAAAAAGAUAUCAAGGUUGUUGAGAGAGUUUGCGCAUGACAAUUUGUGUGUUGAAUUUGAGGGGCUUUUCUCGUUGCCACUACCUAUGUAUUUAUAGGGCUGAUGUACUUACUUAGCAUGGCCUGAACGAUAAGCAGAGGAUUUCAAUUGCACCUAAAGACUUGUAAUGGAAUAUUCUGAGAUAUAAAACGAUGACCAUACAGGGACUCUGCACGCUAAUCCUAUUUUAUUCCAACUUUGACUUUACUUUAUCCCAUCACUGAAUUUGUUGGAUAGUCACACA
This 709-nucleotide long non-coding RNA is filed under the name Malus domestica (apple). RNAcentral's name for it is "long non-coding RNA (MDOM_LNC003644)". Lineage: Eukaryota; Viridiplantae; Streptophyta; Magnoliopsida; Rosales; Rosaceae. The record is from RNAcentral.